Molecule: ribosomal RNA, 496 nt
Filed under: uncultured bacterium
Lineage: Bacteria
Description: partial 16S ribosomal RNA
Rfam family: Bacterial small subunit ribosomal RNA
Source: RNAcentral
AUUGAACGCUGGCGGCAGGCUUAACACAUGCAAGUCGAGCGGGAUUUACCUUCGGGUAAUGAGAGCGGCGGACGGGUGAGUAAUGCUUGGGAAUCUACCUAGUAGUGGGGGACAACAGUUGGAAACGACUGCUAAUACCGCAUACGCCCUACGGGGGAAAGGGGGGGAUCUUCGGACCUCCUGCUCUUAGAUGAGCCCAAGUCGGAUUAGCUAGUUGGUGGGGUAAAGGCAUACCAAGUCGACGAUCCGUAGCUGGUUUGAGAGGAUGAUCAGCCACACUGGGAAGGAGACACGGCCCAGACUCCUACGGGAGGCAGCAGUGGGGAAUAUUGGACAAUGGGCGCAAGCCUGAUCCAGCCAUGCCGCGUGUGUGAAGAAGGCCCUAGGGUUGUAAAGCGCUUUAAGUAGGGAGGAAGGUCUGGUAAUUAAUACUUAUCAGGAUUGACGUUACCUACAGAAUAAGCACCGGCUAACUCCGUGCCAGCCGCCGCAGUAA